CAGUAGCCGCGGUAAUACGUAGGUGGCAAGUGUUGUCCGGAAUUAUUGGGCGUAAAGGGCUCGCAGGCGGUUUCUUAAGUCUGAUGUGAAAGCCCCCGGCUCAACCGGGGAGGGUCAUUGGAAACUGGGAAACUUGAGUGCAGAAGAGGAGAGUGGAAUUCCACGUGUAGCGGUGAAAUGCGUAGAGAUGUGGAGGAACACCAGUGGCGAAGGCGACUCUCUGGUCUGUAACUGACGCUGAGGAGCGAAAGCGUGGGGAGCGAACAGGAUUAGAUACCCGCGUAGUCCCUGUCUCUUAUAC
This 301-nucleotide ribosomal RNA is filed under the name uncultured bacterium. RNAcentral describes it as "partial 16S ribosomal RNA". It matches the Rfam family "Bacterial small subunit ribosomal RNA", at positions 509 to 807 of the family's 1533-position model. The record is from RNAcentral.